UAAAAUAAUAAAGUAAUUGUUAAAGGCUAUGGAGGAGCUAUGAGGAGGAGAGAAGACAGAACAGACUGGGGCCUGGUGGACUGGACCCUGUGGAAGUCUACGACACUCUGCAGAGGAAAUGAAGAAGUGUUUUGAUGAUAAAGACAUCUCAAUGCUGCAGGAAGCUGUCAGCAAAUGGACCCCAUGGAGGCAAAGGGCCACAUGAAGAGGUGUAUUGACUCAGGACUCUGGGUUCCUAACGCCAAUACCGACAACGAGAGGACAAAGAAGAAGACGAGGAAGAGGACAAAGAAGACGAGGAAGAACAGAGAAGGAGGGAGAGGCGGAGAAGGAGAAAUGACUCUGUCAUGAAUUGAACCCUUCCGUUAGACUUUUGACCUUCUCAGACCUAGCUACACCCUUUACUAGCGUUAGCUUGCCUUAUUGAAAACAUGCUGUGAAGAUGCUAACUUCCCUAGCAUUAAUUGAGCUAGUAUCACUAGCAUUAGCCUGACCCAUUGAAAACCUGCACCGGGCAGUAUUUACAAAGAGUCUCAGAGUAGGACCGCUGAUCUGGAUCUGAUCUGAACAACAUCACAUGGACAAGGGGACCUGAUCCUAGAUCAGCACUCCUAUUGAUCUGAUCUGAACACCAUCACAUGGACAAGGGGACCUGACCCUAGAUCAGCACUCCUAUUCUGAGAUGAUUUAUGAAUUUGU
Molecule: long non-coding RNA, 699 nt
Organism: Salvelinus sp. IW2-2015
Lineage: Eukaryota; Metazoa; Chordata; Actinopteri; Salmoniformes; Salmonidae
Source: RefSeq, a predicted model, not a curated record